CGUUACGAGAGAGUUUUGUAGUCCUCGGGCUCAGGAGUGAACGCUGGCGGCGUGCUUAACACAUGCAAGUCGACGAAAGCACUUAAGAACGAUUCUUCGGAUGUAAGUCUUUUGUGACUGAGUGGCGGACGGGUGAGUAACGCGUGGGUAACCUGCCUCACACAGGGGGAUAACAGUUGGAAACGACCGCUAAUACCGCAUAAGCCAACAGGGGCGCAUGCUCUGGUUGGAAAAGAUUUAUCGGUGUGAGAUGGACCCGCGUCUGAUUAGCCAGUUGGCAGGGUAACGGCCUACCAAAGCGACGAUCAGUAGCCGGCCUGAGAGGGUGAACGGCCACAUUGGGACUGAGACACGGCCCAAACUCCUACGGGAGGCAGCAGUGGGGAAUAUUGCACAAUGGGGGGAACCCUGAUGCAGCGACGCCGCGUGAGUGAAGAAGUAUUUCGGUAUGUAAAGCUCUAUCAGCAGGGAAGAAAAUGACGGUACCUGACCAAGAAGCCCCGGCUAACUACGUG
Molecule: ribosomal RNA, 515 nt
Filed under: uncultured Lachnospiraceae bacterium
Lineage: Bacteria; Bacillati; Bacillota; Clostridia; Lachnospirales; Lachnospiraceae
Description: bacterial SSU rRNA
Rfam family: Bacterial small subunit ribosomal RNA
Source: RNAcentral